GACGAACGCUGGCGGCGUGCUUAAAACAUGCAAGUCGAACGGAAAGGCCCUGCUUUUGUGGGGUGCUCGAGUGGCGAACGGGUGAGUAACACGUGAGUAACCUGACCUUGACUUUGGGAUAACUUCAGGAAACUGGGGCUAAUACCGGAUAGGAGCUCCUGCUGCAUGGUGGGGGUUGGAAAGUUUCGGCGGUUGGGGAUGGACUCGCGGCUUAUCAGCUUGUUGGUGGGGUAGUGGCUUACCAAGGCUUUGACGGGUAGCCGGCCUGAGAGGGUGACCGGCCACAUUGGGACUGAGAUACGGCCCAGACUCCUACGGGAGGCAGCAGUGGGGAAUAUUGCACAAUGGGCGGAAGCCUGAUGCAGCAACGCCGCGUGCGGGAUGACGGCCUUCGGGUUGUAAACCGCUUUCGCCUGUGACGAAGCGUGAGUGACGGUAAUGGGUAAAGAAGCACCGGCUAACUACGUG
This 468-nucleotide ribosomal RNA is filed under the name uncultured bacterium. RNAcentral's name for it is "partial 16S ribosomal RNA". It matches the Rfam family "Bacterial small subunit ribosomal RNA", at positions 28 to 507 of the family's 1533-position model. The record is from RNAcentral.